This 386-nucleotide unclassified non-coding RNA is filed under the name uncultured Bryobacterales bacterium. RNAcentral's name for it is "contains 16S-23S intergenic spacer region". The record is from RNAcentral. Lineage: Bacteria; Pseudomonadati; Acidobacteriota; Terriglobia; Bryobacterales.
UCCAGCUUAUCGCUGGCGGUCUCCUGCGAGUUCCGUCUUGAUAUAAUCUCAACAUGGCAACACAGGACAAGGGUUGCGCUCGUUGCGGGACUUAACCCAACAUCUCACGACACGAGCUGACGACAGCCAUGCAGCACCUCGACUGGACCCCCUUGCGGGGUAAAGAUGUUUCCACCUCCGUUGACCAGCCGUUCGAGCCCAGGUAAGGUUCUUCGCGUUGCGUCGAAUUGAACCACAUGCUCCACCGCUUGUGCGGGCCCCCGUCAAUUCCUUUGAGUUUCAGCCUUGCGACUGUACUCCCCAGGCGGCAUAUUUAACGCGUUAGCUCCGGCACAGAUCAACUGAAUGACCCACACCAAAUAUGCAUCGUUUAGGGCGUGGACUAC